CACCAAAUGGCUCUUUAACCUUUCAUUUAUUUAUUUAUUCAUCCAGAAGAUGCUGCACUUAUGAAUUUCCAGGACCUGUAUCUUCUAAAUCAUUUAGUCAAUGGGGCCAGAGAAACAGAAGGAGGCCAAAGAACUCCCUUUUCACAUUAUUGUUAGGAGAAACUCCAAAAGAGGGCUACAGAGGAAGAAAAGAAGGAGAGGGAGGAGGAGCUAAAAAACAGCCUUCCACCAGCUUUGUAGCCAGUUACAGGACUAGGAGAUAAUGAAGAGACUCAGGAAAGCAGUCAAGAUGAGAUCUUGGGCAGGGAACGCCUAGGUAAGGAGAGAAAAGGAGGAAAACUCACCAUGCAGUGUUCACUGUGAGAGGACAAAA
This 373-nucleotide long non-coding RNA is filed under the name Fukomys damarensis (Damara mole-rat). RNAcentral's name for it is "lncRNA (ENSFDAG00000027210.1)". Lineage: Eukaryota; Metazoa; Chordata; Mammalia; Rodentia; Bathyergidae. The record is from RNAcentral.